AUUUUUUUCAAUUAUCUUCCAAUAAAUUAAUGCAUUAUAAACGAUUAUGAUCCAAUUAUUAUACUGGCUCGGUGUAUUCAUGUCUCCAUUAUAUUCGAUAACACUGCAAAAGCGUGUACACAACACAAACAUACAUAUAAACACAAAAUAUUAUGUUAACAAUAUUCGAAAAUAGGAGGGAUAAAAUUCGACGGUAUAAUAUAUUUUGCAUAGUAAUCGUGUAAAAUGUAAAUAGCUCGUAAAACUGACUAUCGGCGGAACGUAUAUUAUAAAUGAUAAUAGUUCAAACAGCAUCUAACAGGCAAUAAUAAUUGUAAUAUACUGACACCGUUGUCAUUAUAGUAAUGUUAUGAUGUCAUUCGUUACGAGUUAUCGAUGAGCCCGAAGAGGCGUGAUUGCGAUAAUAUUUUGGCACC
Molecule: non-coding RNA, 416 nt
Organism: Cinara cedri
Lineage: Eukaryota; Metazoa; Arthropoda; Insecta; Hemiptera; Aphididae
Source: the annotation of a GenBank genome assembly